AAAGAAACCAACAGGGAUUGCCCUAGUAACGGCGAGUGAAGCGGCAACAGCUCAAAUUUGAAAUCUGGCUUCGGCCCGAGUUGUAAUUUGCAGAGGAAGCUUUAGGCGCGGCACCUUCUGAGUCCCCUGGAACGGGGCGCCAUAGAGGGUGAGAGCCCCGUAUAGUUGGAUGCCUAGCCUGUGUAAAGCUCCUUCGACGAGUCGAGUAGUUUGGGAAUGCUGCUCAAAAUGGGAGGUAAAUUUCUUCUAAAGCUAAAUACCGGCCAGAGACCGAUAGCGCACAAGUAGAGUGAUCGAAAGAUGAAAAGCACUUUGAAAAGAGGGUUAAACAGCACGUGAAAUUGUUGAAAGGGAAGCGCUUGUGACCAGACUUGCGCCGGGCUGAUCAUCCGGUGUUCUCACCGGUGCACUCGGCCCGGCACAGGCCAGCAUCGGUUCUCGCGGGGGGAUAAAGGUCCCGGGAACGUAGCUCCUCCGGGAGUGUUAUAGCCCGGGGCGUAAUGCCCUCGCGGGGACCGAGGUUCGCGCAUCUGCAAGGAUGCUGGCGUA
Molecule: ribosomal RNA, 549 nt
Filed under: Dichotomopilus indicus
Lineage: Eukaryota; Fungi; Ascomycota; Sordariomycetes; Sordariales; Chaetomiaceae
Description: eukaryotic LSU rRNA
Rfam family: Eukaryotic large subunit ribosomal RNA
Source: RNAcentral